This 76-nucleotide transfer RNA is filed under the name Salmonella enterica subsp. enterica serovar Oranienburg. RNAcentral describes it as "tRNA-Glu". It matches the Rfam family "tRNA". From Rfam's summary of the family: Transfer RNA (tRNA) molecules are approximately 80 nucleotides in length. The record is from RNAcentral. Lineage: Bacteria; Pseudomonadati; Pseudomonadota; Gammaproteobacteria; Enterobacterales; Enterobacteriaceae.
GUCCCCUUCGUCUAGAGGCCCAGGACACCGCCCUUUCAACGCUGGUACCGGGGUUCGACUCCCCUAGGUGACGCAA